UUAAAUUGAAGAGUUUGAUCAUGGCUCAGAUUGAACGCUGGCGGCAGGCCUAACACAUGCAAGUCGAACGGUAACAGGAAGCAGCUUGCUGCUUUGCUGACGAGUGGCGGACGGGUGAGUAAUGUCUGGGAAACUGCCUGAUGGAGGGGGAUAACUACUGGAAACGGUGGCUAAUACCGCAUAACGUCGCAAGACCAAAGAGGGGGACCUUCGGGCCUCUUGCCAUCAGAUGUGCCCAGAUGGGAUUAGCUUGUUGGUGAGGUAACGGCUCACCAAGGCGACGAUCCCUAGCUGGUCUGAGAGGAUGACCAGCCACACUGGAACUGAGACACGGUCCAGACUCCUACGGGAGGCAGCAGUGGGGAAUAUUGCACAAUGGGCGCAAGCCUGAUGCAGCCAUGCCGCGUGUAUGAAGAAGGCCUUCGGGUUGUAAAGUACUUUCAGCGGGGAGGAAGGUGUUGCGGUUAAUAACCGCAGCAAUUGACGUUACCCGCAGAAGAAGCACCGGCUAACUCCGUGCCAGCAGCCGCGGUAAUACGGAGGGUGCAAGCGUUAAUCGGAAUUACUGGGCGUAAAGCGCACGCAGGCGGUCUGUCAAGUCGGAUGUGAAAUCCCCGGGCUCAACCUGGGAACUGCAUUCGAAACUGGCAGGCUUGAGUCUUGUAGAGGGGGGUAGAAUUCCAGGUGUAGCGGUGAAAUGCGUAGAGAUCUGGAGGAAUACCGGUGGCGAAGGCGGCCCCCUGGACAAAGACUGACGCUCAGGUGCGAAAGCGUGGGGAGCAAACAGGAUUAGAUACCCUGGUAGUCCACGCCGUAAACGAUGUCUACUUGGAGGUUGUGCCCUUGAGGCGUGGCUUCCGGAGCUAACGCGUUAAGUAGACCGCCUGGGGAGUACGGCCGCAAGGUUAAAACUCAAAUGAAUUGACGGGGGCCCGCACAAGCGGUGGAGCAUGUGGUUUAAUUCGAUGCAACGCGAAGAACCUUACCUGGUCUUGACAUCCACAGAAGAAUCCAGAGAUGGAUUGGUGCCUUCGGGAACUGUGAGACAGGUGCUGCAUGGCUGUCGUCAGCUCGUGUUGUGAAAUGUUGGGUUAAGUCCCGCAACGAGCGCAACCCUUAUCCUUUGUUGCCAGCGAUUAGGUCGGGAACUCAAAGGAGACUGCCAGUGAUAAACUGGAGGAAGGUGGGGAUGACGUCAAGUCAUCAUGGCCCUUACGACCAGGGCUACACACGUGCUACAAUGGCGCAUACAAAGAGAAGCGACCUCGCGAGAGCAAGCGGAGCUCAUAAAGUGCGUCGUAGUCCGGAUUGGAGUCUGCAACUCGACUCCAUGAAGUCGGAAUCGCUAGUAAUCGUGGAUCAGAAUGCCACGGUGAAUACGUUCCCGGGCCUUGUACACACCGCCCGUCACACCAUGGGAGUGGGUUGCAAAAGAAGUAGGUAGCUUAACCUUCGGGAGGGCGCUUACCACUUUGUGAUUCAUGACUGGGGUGAAGUCGUAACAAGGUAACCGUAGGGGAACCUGCGGUUGGAUCACCUCCUUACCUUAAAGAAGC
Molecule: ribosomal RNA, 1556 nt
Filed under: Salmonella enterica subsp. enterica serovar Typhimurium
Lineage: Bacteria; Pseudomonadati; Pseudomonadota; Gammaproteobacteria; Enterobacterales; Enterobacteriaceae
Description: bacterial SSU rRNA
Rfam family: Bacterial small subunit ribosomal RNA
Source: RNAcentral